GGGUUGUGAGGUUAAGCGACUAAGCGUACACGGUGGAUGCCCUGGCAGUCAGAGGCGAUGAAGGGCGUGCUAAUCUGCGAUAAGCGCCGGUAAGGUGAUAUGAACCGUUAUAACCGGCGAUACCCGAAUGGGGAAACCCAGUGUGAUUCGUCACACUAUCAUUAACUGAAUCCAUAGGUUAAUGAGGCGAACCGGGGGAACUGAAACAUCUAAGUACCCCGAGGAAAAGAAAUCAACCGAGAUUCCCCCAGUAGCGGCGAGCGAACGGGGAGGAGCCCAGAGCCUGAAUCAGCAUGUGUGUUAGUGGAAGCGUCUGGAAAGGCGCGCGAUACAGGGUGACAGCCCCGUACACAAAAGCGCAUGUGCUGUGAGCUCGAUGAGUAGGGCGGGACACGUGGUAUCCUGUCUGAAUAUGGGGGGACCAUCCUCCAAGGCUAAAUACUCCUGACUGACCGAUAGUGAACCAGUACCGUGAGGGAAAGGCGAAAAGAACCCCGGCGAGGGGAGUGAAAAAGAACCUGAAACCGUGUACGUACAAGCAGUGGGAGCACAGGUUUACCUGUGUGACUGCGUACCUUUUGUAUAAUGGGUCAGCGACUUAUAUUCUGUAGCAAGGUUAACCGUAUAGGGGAGCCGUAGGGAAACCGAGUCUUAACCGGGCGUUAAGUUGCAGGGUAUAGACCCGAAAC
Molecule: ribosomal RNA, 689 nt
Filed under: Salmonella enterica subsp. enterica serovar Ordonez
Lineage: Bacteria; Pseudomonadati; Pseudomonadota; Gammaproteobacteria; Enterobacterales; Enterobacteriaceae
Description: partial 23S ribosomal RNA
Rfam family: Bacterial large subunit ribosomal RNA
Source: RNAcentral